This 301-nucleotide ribosomal RNA is filed under the name uncultured bacterium. RNAcentral describes it as "bacterial SSU rRNA". It matches the Rfam family "Bacterial small subunit ribosomal RNA", at positions 30 to 334 of the family's 1533-position model. The record is from RNAcentral.
AUUGAACGCUGGCGGCAUGCCUUACACAUGCAAGUCGAACGGUAACAGGUCUUCGGACGCUGACGAGUGGCGAACGGGUGAGUAAUACAUCGGAACGUGCCCAGUCGUGGGGGAUAACUACUCGAAAGAGUAGCUAAUACCGCAUACGAUCUGAGGAUGAAAGCGGGGGACCUUCGGGCCUCGCGCGAUUGGAGCGGCCGAUGGCAGAUUAGGUAGUUGGUGGGAUAAAAGCUUACCAAGCCGACGAUCUGUAGCUGGUCUGAGAGGACGACCAGCCACACUGGGACUGAGACACGGCCAG